Molecule: ribosomal RNA, 455 nt
Filed under: uncultured Gammaproteobacteria bacterium
Lineage: Bacteria; Pseudomonadati; Pseudomonadota; Gammaproteobacteria
Description: bacterial SSU rRNA
Rfam family: Bacterial small subunit ribosomal RNA
Source: RNAcentral
GAGUUUGAUCGUGGCUCAGAGUGAACGCUGGCGGCGUGCUUAACACAUGCAAGUCGAGCGAAUUUCAGCAGUGUAUCGCUGAGGUUAGCGGCAGACGGGUGAGUAAUACUUGGGCAAUCUGCCCUUGAGAGGGAAACAACCCGCCGAAAGGUGGGCUAAUGUCCCAUAAGACCACGGGGUCGCAUGAUCCCGAGGUCAAAGCUCCGCAAGGGGCGCUUGAGGAGGAGCCUGAGGCCUAGUCAUGGUAGUUGGUGAGGUAACGGCUCACCAAGCCUGCGACGGGUAGCCGGCCUGAAAGGGUGAUCGGCCACACUGGCACUGAGACACGGGCCAGACUCCUACGGGAGGCAGCAGUGGGGAAUAUUGGACAAUGGGGGCAACCCUGAUCCAGCGACGCCGCGUGUGUGAAGAAGGCCUGCGGGUUGUAAAGCACGUUUUAGUGGGGAUGAAAAGCC